GACGAACGCUGGCGGCGUGCUUAACACAUGCAAGUCGAACGGAAAGGCCUCGUUCGGGGGGUACUCGAGUGGCGAACGGGUGAGUAACACGUGAGUAACCUGCCCUUGACUUUGGGAUAACUUCAGGAAACUGGGGCUAAUACCGGAUAGGAGCUCCUGCUGCAUGGCGGGGGUUGGAAAGUUUCGGCGGUUGGGGAUGGACUCGCGGCUUAUCAGCUUGUUGGUGGGGUAGUGGCUUACCAAGGCUUUGACGGGUAGCCGGCCUGAGAGGGUGACCGGCCACAUUGGGACUGAGAUACGGCCCAGACUCCUACGGGAGGCAGCAGUGGGGAAUAUUGCACAAUGGGUGGAAGCCUGAUGCAGCAACGCCGUGUGCGGGAUGACGGCCUUCGGGUUGUAAACCGCUUUCGCUCAUGACGAAGCUUUGUGUGACGGUAGUGGGUAAAGAAGCACCGGCUAACUACGUG
RNAcentral lists this ribosomal RNA (467 nucleotides) under uncultured bacterium. RNAcentral's name for it is "partial 16S ribosomal RNA". It matches the Rfam family "Bacterial small subunit ribosomal RNA", at positions 28 to 507 of the family's 1533-position model. The record is from RNAcentral.